CCCUUUUUUUUUUCUCUUGGAACCCUAGCACCGCCAUGGAGGCGGUGGACCCGCGACUGCGUCACCUUGCCAUUUGUGGCAAAUUUCAGACGUACCAUGCUUUAGCAGGUCUGGUAUGGCCGUGUUGAUAUGCAUUUAAUGUUUUGCAUCUUUGCUAUCAAAUAUUGUCCAAACAUGGUAUAUUUCAUCUUUUUUGCUUUGUUUUUAGUUGAUUCAACGGUAUACUCUGUGAAUCUUUAAUUACUUUUGGUUGUUUGUGAUUUUGAAUCUCGGGUUGCCAUUAGUUCAUGAGGAACCUAGAAGAUCGACCUUUUGAGGGUGAGAUCUGACCCUUCAUUCGCUUUUUGCAUCUAAUCCUAACCCUACAACAUAGAUGUGAGGAGGAAACCCAUAAGAAGGGGAGUUAUCCCACAUCGGCUAAAGGAGGGUUUUGGGUUUUUCUAUUUAAGGGACCCUAUUUCUUUGUUGUAGAACAAGUUUGAGCAUACUAAAAAAUAUAUACUGUGAAGACUCGAAAUAUUUAAGGAUUUUUUCAAAAAUUAUUUGAAGUCUUUAGAAUUUUCUGAGUCGAGUAAAGAAUUUUUAAGAAAAAAAGAAAGGGGAAUUUGUUCUCUUUGUUUUUGCGGGGUUUCUGUAGUUGAGUUUGGGUUUGGAGGAGCAAAUCUCCAAGUUUAAAUCUCGAUACAAAGCUGCACUUGCAAAAGGUAGGCAGAGAGAUGGAUCAGACCCGUAGGUGUUCUAUCAGCAGAUUCUCAGGAGCACUCCACUUACUUGAGUCGUAUAGCCUAUUUGGCCCAAUACCUUCUCUUGAUCGAGUCCGUGAGAAAUAAAUGGGAAAGGGAAGCUAUUAUGUUUGAAGGCCCAGCCAAUGGGUGAAAAUGGCACUGAUGGGCUUGGGUAGGCCCAUCAAUUUGAAAGAAAUAUAUUCCUCCCUCUCUUUACUUUAUUUGUAUAUGUAAAUGUUGUAUAUCAAACAUGUGAAACCCCUAUGCAUGUGUAGACUUAGGAAAUCAAAUGCAUAGCAUUUUAGGAAGUCGCUCAAAACUUUUUUCUAACUCGCUCAAUUUGGAUUUUUUUUUUCGCACAACUGAAAAAAAAUUGGCAUCUAAAUCUGAUUUUGUUAAAGUUUAAUAAUCAAACACAUAUUUUGGAUGGAGUAGAUUAUGCCUUUCUCAAAAUGGUUAAAUUCGCGAGUUUUUGGACUUUGGCAACGAAAAAAAUCUGGGGAAGAACUCUUUUUUAAAAGAAGGUAAAAUAAUUUUGGGCUUGCAGCCCAUUAGCUUGAAUUAUUUGUGAAUCUUGUAUCAAAAAAAAUAUAGAAAUGAAUUGGUUUGGAAAGUGGAAGAGAUGCGGUUUAUCUUCGAUGGACAAAAUGGGCUUUGAGAUUUUUGACACUAAGCACAAUCUGAAAAAUGACUUGAAAAACUGGGAAUUUGAAGAUUGGUAAAACUGGAGGAAACGGACCAUUUUUGAACUCAAACGUUUUGGGCCCAAAGAUUUAUUGGACUAAAAAUAUUUUGGACUAACUAUGAGGAUAAAGGGAUUUGGACUUAGAAUAUUAUUGACCUAUGGCUUCAAUAAAUAAAAAUCAACCAAACUGCUUUUGUUUCAUAAAACUUAUAUUUAUAAAAUACAAAACGGAGGAUAUACUCCAUAUUUUC
Molecule: long non-coding RNA, 1661 nt
Organism: Lycium ferocissimum
Lineage: Eukaryota; Viridiplantae; Streptophyta; Magnoliopsida; Solanales; Solanaceae
Exons: 3
Source: RefSeq, a predicted model, not a curated record